This 854-nucleotide ribosomal RNA is filed under the name Lysinibacillus fusiformis. RNAcentral's name for it is "bacterial SSU rRNA". It matches the Rfam family "Bacterial small subunit ribosomal RNA", at positions 535 to 1533 of the family's 1533-position model. Lineage: Bacteria; Bacillati; Bacillota; Bacilli; Caryophanales; Bacillaceae. The record is from RNAcentral.
CGGGCACCGCUCACGGGUCUACUGGGCGUAAGCGAGCGCAGGCGGUUGAUUAAGUUAGAUGUGAAAUCCCCGGGCUUAACCUGGGAAUGGCAUCUAUAACUGGUCAGCUAGAGUCUUGUAGAGGGGGGUAGAAUUCCAUGUGUAGCGGUGAAAUGCGUGAGAUGUGGAGGAAUACCGGUGGCGAAGGCGGCCCCCUGCGCAAAUACUGACGCUCAGGUGCGAAAGCGUGGGGAGCAAACAGGAUUAGAUACCCUGGUAGUCCACGCCCUAAACGAUGUCAAUUUGAAGGUUGGUCCCUUGAGGAGUGGCUUUCCGAGUUAACGCUUUAAAUCACCCCCCGGGGAAGUACGGCCCCAAAGUUAAAACUCAAAGGAUUUGACGGGACCCCCGCACAACCGGGGAAGAUGGUGAUUUAAUUCGAUGCAGCGCGAAAAACCUUACCUACUCUUGACUUUCUGAGAAGUUAACAGAGAUGCGUUGUUGUCUUCGGGAACUCGGAGACAGGUGCUGCAUGGCUGUCGUCAGCUCGUGUUGUGAGAUGUUGGGUUAAGUCCCGCAACGAGCGCAACCCUUAUCCUUUGUUGCCACCGAUUCGGUCUGGAACUCAAAUGACACUGACGGAGAUGAACGAGAUGAGGGUGGGGAUGACUCCUCGUCGUCCUGAUCCUUACGGCUUCGCAUGUAAUCCUACCGCCAUGACAUAUAGUCACAUAACCGCCAUCGGGAGAUCAAUCCGAAAUCAUAAUCGUGGUCCUGAUCGGGAUUUGAAUCUCCACUCGUCUACGUUGGAGUCGCAUUAUACUAUACUAGAUGUCACGCUGCAGACGAUCUCCCGGCUGCACAAGAAUACAAAA